Molecule: long non-coding RNA, 464 nt
Filed under: Ananas comosus (pineapple)
Lineage: Eukaryota; Viridiplantae; Streptophyta; Magnoliopsida; Poales; Bromeliaceae
Description: long non-coding RNA (ACOM_LNC036853)
Source: RNAcentral
CCAAACCACUGGCCCAAAAAUUUAAACUUAGUUAUUAUUACUAGCGUGUAGAUCUAAUAUAUUCUAAUCAAAAUUAUUUUUUCAUCCGAUGUAGAAUUAUUGGGACGUUACAAAUUCUCCCUAUUUAGACACUAAUGUCAUCGUCAGGUCCAAACCAAGAUCACAGAUUUACACACCAGAAUUAUUAGACGAUGUGAGAUUCUAGACGUGGCUCCUACGAGUUCAAAAGGUGGCUCCCAUCAAAUUCGUUGGUGUACCACUUUGCCCCGUCACGCUUCCAGCUCGUAUUCGGCUCUGAUACCACAAUUUCUGUCAACAAUAACUCGUUGGCAACAAUAAUUCAUUGAACCCAAACCAUCGGCCCAAAAUGCUUAAAAUUAGUUUUUAUUACUAGCGUGUAGGCCUCAUAUAUCCUAAUCAGAAUCACUUUUGCCAUAUGAUGUAGGACUAUUAGAGGGUUAUAU